UGUUGUAAAUAAUGUAUAAAUCACGCCUGUCACUCUGGAGGAAGCGGGCUCGCGCGAGCUGGGGACGGAGAGGUUUUCUCUAGCCCCGGCUUGGGCACCGGCCCAGUGCGCCCCCUCCUCUUGCAAUCGGCUUCGGCAGUGGUUGGGGAGGGCUGGGUAGAGGCGAAUGGGGGCCCCAGGAGCUGCUGCCUUCCUUUCGAUGUUAUAGUUGGAGGUAGGAAUAUGGCUGAUCAUGUGCUGGCUGUUUUACAGUAUUCCCCCCCCACCUUAGCCACACCCCCUGUCCAGGCGCUUUCCCAUUCACGGAAUUCGAGUACAGUAAAAGCCAUCAGGAUGACACACGCGAAAAACAUUUAAUUAAAGGCGAUUUCCAAAGAGUAACCAUGCCGAACUGCCGUUUCAGCGGGAGGGGGGCAGCGAGGGCUGGGACGAAAGGGAAGGGGAUGAGGGCUGGGGGUCCGGACCUGCCGCUAAGCUCGGUGAUAUUCAUGAUGGCCUGUGUCAUUCAGUUCCAUCUUUCCAACACAAUGAAAGAGAAAAAAGAAAGGCAGGAAGCAACAUGGGAAGUAGGAACGAAGCGGAAAAAAACCACAGCGAAUCUUUAAUUUAACAAGGCUUUCAGGGACUUCAGGGAGCCAUGAGCGUUGUGACAUAACUGUUGUUAAAAACCCUUUUUCAGAGUCUCGUUAUUAUAUGUGCAUGCCGGCAGCUUACAUAUUUUACUUUAGUUAUCCACACAUGGCUGUGGACCACGCGGUUGGUUUGGAACACCAGUGCUGAAGGUUGAAGGCUUUUAGGGCCGGCAGACCUAAGGGAAAAAUCGAAACCGAAAGAUGGAUUAACAGUGAAAAGCUCAGUUGGGUUGAGAUCGAACACCCUGGAAGCUCAGCUUAGAUGGACUUAAAAUCCCUUAACAGGGCCUGUAGCUUAUGUGUAGCCCUGAGGACUUCUGGAAUCACGUAAGUCUUUGACUUUGAAAGUGCGUGGCCUCUCUUGCCCCCUUCAGUUUUGGCUGAUUCACUUUCUAGUAGGUGCUCUUACCUAGCAAUUUAGCGCCCUUUCUAAAGAUUGAUUCU
This is a long non-coding RNA of Cebus imitator (Panamanian white-faced capuchin), 1076 nucleotides long. RefSeq lists it as uncharacterized. NCBI's taxonomy places the organism in Eukaryota, Metazoa, Chordata, Mammalia, Primates, Cebidae. The transcript is spliced from 2 exons. The record is from RefSeq and is a predicted model, not a curated record.